AAGGACCUGAAGGUGGAUGUGAACCAGGCUGUGAUGUAUAAACAGACAAAGACGGAAAGGACAUUUAAGCCAGCUGCCCGGCUGAGAGCCACGUUCCAGACCAAGCAGGAAACCACCAGGGGCGGGCGUGGAGCAAACCACCAGACUUCA
This is a long non-coding RNA of Brienomyrus brachyistius, 150 nucleotides long. RefSeq lists it as uncharacterized. The transcript has 3 exons. The record is from RefSeq and is a predicted model, not a curated record. Lineage: Eukaryota; Metazoa; Chordata; Actinopteri; Osteoglossiformes; Mormyridae.